AUUGAACGCUGGCGGCAUGCUUUACACAUGCAAGUCGAACGGCAGCGCGGGCUUCGGCCUGGCGGCGAGUGGCGGACGGGUGAGUAAUGCAUCGGAACGUGCCCAGUAGUGGGGGAUAGCGCGGCGAAAGCCGGAUUAAUACCGCAUACGACCUGAGGGUGAAAGCGGGGGACCGAAAGGCCUCGCGCUAUUGGAGCGGCCGAUGUCGGAUUAGCUAGUUGGUGGGGUAAAGGCUUACCAAGGCGACGAUCCGUAGCUGGUCUGAGAGGACGACCAGCCACACUGGGACUGAGACACGGCCCAGACUCCUACGGGAGGCAGCAGUGGGGAAUUUUGGACAAUGGGGGCAACCCUGAUCCAGCCAUGCCGCGUGCGGGAAGAAGGCCUUCGGGUUGUAAACCGCUUUUGUUCGGGAAGAAAUCCUCUGGGCUAAUACCCCGGGGGGAUGACGGUACCGGAAGAAUAAGCGCCGGCUAACUACGUG
Molecule: ribosomal RNA, 484 nt
Filed under: uncultured bacterium
Lineage: Bacteria
Description: partial 16S ribosomal RNA
Rfam family: Bacterial small subunit ribosomal RNA
Source: RNAcentral